Molecule: ribosomal RNA, 478 nt
Filed under: uncultured Planctomycetota bacterium
Lineage: Bacteria; Pseudomonadati; Planctomycetota
Description: bacterial SSU rRNA
Rfam family: Bacterial small subunit ribosomal RNA
Source: RNAcentral
UUUCGCAAUGCCCGAAAGGGUGACGAAGCGACGCCGCGUGCGGGAAGAAGGCCUUCGGGUUGUAAACCGCUGUCGGGAGUUAAGAAAUGUAAGGAUGUUAAUAGCAUCUUUGCUUGACUAAGGCUCCGGAGGAAGCCACGGCUAACUCUGUGCCAGUAGCCGCGGUAAUACAGAGGCGGCAAGCGUUGUUCGGAACUAUUGGGCGUAAAGAGCACGUAGGCGGCUAUGUAAGUCGGUUGUGAAAGCCUUCCGCUCAACGGGAGAACAGCAUCCGAUACUACAUGGCUUGAGUGCGGGAGGGGAGAGUGGAACUUCUGGUGGAGCGGUGAAAUGCGUAGAUAUCAGAAGGAACGCCGGCGGCGAAAGCGGCUCUCUGGCCCAUAACUGACGCUGAGUGUGCGAAAGCUAGGGGAGCAAACGGGAUUAGAUACCCCGGUAGUCCUAGCCGUAAACGAUGGGCACUAAGUAGAGGGGUUUU